AGGAAUAUUGGUCAAUGGCCGAGAGGCUGAACCAGCCAAGUCGCGUGAGGGAGGACGGCCCUACGGGUUGUAAACCUCUUUUGUCAGGGAGCAAGGGACAGGUCGUGACCUGUUGUGAGAGUACCUGAAGAAAAAGCAUCGGCUAACUCCGUGCCAGCAGCCGCGGUAAUACGGAGGAUGCGAGCGUUAUCCGGAUUUAUUGGGUUUAAAGGGUGCGCAGGCGGAGGCACAAGUCAGCGGUAAAAUCGCGGGGCUCAACCCCGCUCCGCCGUUGAAACUGUGUCCCUUGAGUGCGCGAAGGGUAGGCGGAAUGCGUGGUGUAGCGGUGAAAUGCAUAGAUAUCACGCAGAACUCCGAUCGCGAAGGCAGCCUACCGGCGCGCAACUGACGCUCAUGCACGAAAGCGUGGGUAUCGAACA
RNAcentral lists this ribosomal RNA (419 nucleotides) under uncultured bacterium. RNAcentral describes it as "bacterial SSU rRNA". It matches the Rfam family "Bacterial small subunit ribosomal RNA", at positions 357 to 774 of the family's 1533-position model. The record is from RNAcentral.